This 3779-nucleotide long non-coding RNA is filed under the name Homo sapiens (human). RNAcentral describes it as "HSALNT0377719". Lineage: Eukaryota; Metazoa; Chordata; Mammalia; Primates; Hominidae. The record is from RNAcentral.
CCCUCUAUCCCGCCUCAUUGACCCCUGGACAACCCUGAAAUAUCAUCGUCAGCAUUAUUUCAUCGGAAAGAAGGGCAGCAAGAGAGGCCGGAUGAUUCUCCCAAGGCCACACAGCUAAUUAGUGGGCAGAGCCCAGUCUAGAAGCCAUCUCACCAUCUGACACCUUUCGACAAAGUGCAAAACGCGGUGGUGAGAGACGAGGACACAGACAUUAAGAUUCCGCUCCAGCCCUAGAGGCACUGAGAAUCAGAACGUGAACUACUCUUCACUCCAGGCAGAAAGCAAGAGGCUUGGAUGAGUUUUAGGAAACCAGCACAGUGUCGGGCACAGAGCGCUCAAUGAAUAGAUGUGUAACAACAAAGUAGGGAUCCAACAGAGGAAGAAAUAAUUUAUUGUAAGGUGGCCUUUGGGAAAGCUCUCAGAAAGGUGGAUGAAUCACUUAAGAGGUAAGGAAGGGGGAGGUGAGGACAGGGGAGAGACUGCAGAAAUAGGCCUUGCAAAAAUCCAGAGGAUGGAAGAGCUUGAUGUGUUCAAGAGAGAGAGCUGCCAGGCGUUGCAGGGGGCCUAGGAUUUGAUAGGAGUUGAGGUUGGCCAGGCUGGGUGAGUCUGAACUCAGGAGGUCCUUGAAUGCCGGGGCAGAGUUGUUGAGGAGUCUGCUUCCUGCUGGCACUGCUGGACACCAUGGCUACUCCGAAGACCCACAUAGGGUCCAGCCUCUAAAUGAAGCCAUCUGGGGAAUCAGGCAAACUGAAGUCACAGCAUCAUGCCCCCCCACAAGCAUCCCAUGAGCACCACCCUGACAGAUAGAAGUAAAAUCAGGUGGCUUUUCUCCAUUUCUCCAGCACUCGAGACUGAACCGCACAUAUAAUAGAUGCUCAAUACAUUUCUGUUGAGGUGAAGAAACCCUAGUUGGGUUUUUGCUGAGGAAAACCCAGGGUCAUUACUGCAAUACGAUAUCCUCACUCAGAAGACUAAUUACGAUGACACUUAGACAAGUCCAAAAGUGACCCACGCAGGAAUGGGACCUAGAAAGAAGAGAAUGCACAAAGAGGGCCUCACAAAGGGUCUACACAAGUAGCAGGGAAUUUCAGGCAUAAGGUGUGGCAGUCACAACAGGGGCAGGAGUCUGGAGACGCCAGAUGCUCUCCCAGGUCUCUCUCCCCUGGGGAGUUUAAUAAGACUGCGCCAGGGGCCAGGGCUUGUUUGCAUAGAUGGAGAAAACCACUGCCAAACCUCCAUCUGGUUUCCGCAGGAAUCAUGGGGCAGAUCCAGCGGUGCCAUUUGUGGGAGGCCAGGAAAGACCUUGCUCCUUGGGAAUCAGGCUCCACAGGCCUCUCAGGUCAACCAAGAAAAUGAAUGGACUCCAGCAGCAUCACAGAAUCAAAGCAACACCUAAGGAAUUCACUGUUUCUUCACAUACUUUGAACUGUGAAAACAAGAGUCAUCAUAAUAGCUGCAGUUUACUCAGUACCUACCAGGUACUGUCACCUAUACUGUCUCUAAAGCCCCUACAACCCUGAGCUAAGGAUGAUCAUAUCCCCAACUGCAGAUGAUGACACUGAAGCUCAACGGCUACUCAACUUGCCUGGAAUCCUACAGCAAUUAACAAAAACCAGCAUCACGCUCAAGGUUUUGUGAACUUAUCAGUUCCCUUAUUUCAACUCCUGGUCCUGUUGGAAAAAGUGACAGUUGGGAGGCAGAACUGCGCAUGGUAGCCCAGAGCUCUUACCAUCUGAGCCACGUGCCCAUUCAUUUCUCAUUUCAGAAUACUGCAUUGUGUCACAAGAAUUCAACUAUGUACUCAUGGAGAAGGAGGGAGAAAGCAAGGAAGGAAAAAAGAGAAAAGUAAUUUACAUAGUAACAGCAAUUCUGCUCAACAUUCCAUUCAGUGAGCCGAUACCCUGGAGUGCAGAAACUGUUAUGAAUGUACUCCACCAAGGCAAGAAAGGAAGAAGACAUGGAAUUUAAAAAACAGAGGAUCUACUAUGAAAGAGAAAGGUGAAGGGAAUUCCAGGCUGAUGGUAAAUGCAAAUUCCAGGAUGAGAGUUGGGCAGCAGGCCUAGAGUGCACUCCGUCCUGGGAGGAGCCAGAUGAUAGAGGGCUCUAGGAGAGAAGGCUCCAAGGGAAAAUGAAACAAGAGGAGGAGAAGAAACAGGCUUACGCUGAGCGAAUCCAAUGUGCAGACAGACACACAGGGAAGGUGACCAUUUGAAGACGGAGGCAGAAACUGAAGUUGUGCAACUGCAAACCAAGAAAUGCCAUGGAUUGCCAACAACCACCAGGAACUAGAAGAGGCAAGGUAAGGUUCAGCAAAGUCUAUGUCAUUCUCUAAUCCUUUUGAUCCAGCGGAUUCUUUGGAGGAAUUUGAAUACAUAUUGGAUUUUGCAUCCAGGUUUGCAAGAGGAAAAUACAAAGGUGACUUCUGGGCCUGCUGGAGGUGGAGGGUAGAGGAUGGACAGCUGACAUCUAGUCACAGAGGAAAGAACACAGAAAGAGAUCUCCAGUUAAAGCUGAUAGAUUGAACCACAGACAACCCACCUCCUUCUAAAAUCCCUCUAGAACAAUGGUUUAAAAAAAGUGCUUUAACAUAAAACUUCAAAAUCAAAAAGAUAAGGAAAAUGAUGAAAACCACUCAGAUAAGAAGAGAGGAUAUUUAUGCAGAGGCUGCUGUCGUUGGGAGUCCGCCACCAUACCACUAUACUUUGGUGAGACUUGAAGGCAGGCAGGGAGUGGAAACACUUUAUGCUGUAGUGAAAAAAGGGGAAGGCUUCGGUAUGCUCUGACUGGAGAUCAUUGUCAUGGGGAAACUGCAGGUGGGCUAACUAGAGGCUGGGCUUCUUGUGUAAUGGUUUGGCUUUCUCUGGUUGGUCCUGUGUUGAAAAUAGGGGCAAAAUAUAGGGAAGCUGACUCAUUGACCAAGCCCUGCCCAGGCUGGCCAAUUGCAGAGGUUGUGGGUCAGAGUUCUAUUGUCAUAUAUGGUCUGGCUACUGUCUGUUUAUAUAAUCCGUCUCUCAGAGAACAGUAGAGGAGAUCAAAUUAUUAACAUUUUGGAAGCUGGAAAGCAGGAGGAUAGUGUGAGCUGAAUUAGCAGACUUGCCAUCUAUCAAAGGGGAUAGCCAAAAGCAAGCCAGAUUUGCCCCAGAGAACCACCAAAGGUUCAAGAAUUGGCAGCACCAGGUACCCCCAGAAGCAGGGAUAAAGUGGGGGCUGAAAUUGGACAGUUGGUUCAAAGUCUAUUUCAGAAGCAUUAGACCACUGGAUUUCUUCCCCAGCUCCCAAAUGACUGCCUGGUGCAAAAGACUCAGGAUUGAUUCCCUGGAGAGGGUAGGUAGUUCUUUGUCUAGUUAAGGAUGGGAUGCCAUAACAAACAUGCCAAUUCAGUGAAAGUACCUACUUUCAAGACUCCUGCUUAACUCCCCUAAAUCAGCAGCCAAUGUUAGAAGCCAAGUGUUAAAGUUUUUCAGAUAAUUUUGCUAUAAGCCUAUGGAGAAAUUUCAUUACCAUCUCAUAGCAAGGCCUAUAGUAUAAGAGCAGGCCUAUAGUAGCAUAUGGGGGAAAGUCUAAAAGACUUUGAAAUGGACCAAAAGAUUAUUGAGAAAUGGAAAACUGCAUUGUUUUAAGUAUCCCUUUCCAACUUAUCAGAUUCUGUGGGGUUUAUACCUUUCAUUGUCUUUGAGGUAUUUAACAAUUCUAAAGAGAUAGACUCUAACUUGUAGAAAACUAAGAGUAACAUAAAUAAUUAUCGUCUUUAGAUAUACAAAUAAAUUCUGUUCUGAGAA